CCUACGGGAGGCAGCAGUGAGGAAUAUUGGUCAAUGGGCGCGAGCCUGAACCAGCCAAGUAGCGUGAAGGAUGAAUGCCCUACGGGUUGUAAACUUCGUUUAUAAAGGAAUAAAGUGAGGCACGUGUGCCUUUUUGUAUGUACGUUAUGAAUAAGGAUCGGCUAACUCCGUGCCAGCAGCCGCGGUAAUACGGAGGAUCCGAGCGUUAUCCGGAUUUAUUGGGUUUAAAGGGAGCGUAGAUGGGUUGUUAAGUCAGUGGUGAAAGUUUGCGGCUCAACCGUAAAAUUGCAAUUGAUACUGGCAGUCUUGAGUACAGUUGAGGUCGGCGGCCUUCGUGGUGUAGCGGUGACAUGCUUAUCUCUCACGCAGAACUCCGAUUGCGACGGCAGCUUACUAAACUGCCACUGACAUUGCUGCUCGAAAGUGUGGGUAUCAAACCGGAUUAGCUACCCCUGUCGUC
Molecule: ribosomal RNA, 460 nt
Filed under: uncultured bacterium
Lineage: Bacteria
Description: partial 16S ribosomal RNA
Rfam family: Bacterial small subunit ribosomal RNA
Source: RNAcentral